RNAcentral lists this ribosomal RNA (459 nucleotides) under uncultured bacterium. Its description in RNAcentral is "partial 16S ribosomal RNA". It matches the Rfam family "Bacterial small subunit ribosomal RNA", at positions 338 to 795 of the family's 1533-position model. The record is from RNAcentral.
CCUACGGGAGGCUUCAGUGAGGAAUAUUGGUCAAUGGGCGGAAGCCUGAACCAGCCAAGUAGCGUGCGGGAUGAAGGCCCUACGGGUCGUAAACCGCUUUUGCACGGGGAUAACACCCUCCACUUGUGGAGGUCUGCAGGUACCGUGCGAAUAAGGGCCGGCUAAUUCCGCGCCAGCAGCCGCGGUAAUACGGAAGGCCCGAGCGUUAUCCGGAUUCAUUGGGCUUAAAGGGAGCGUAGGCGGGCGUUCAAGUCAGCUGUAAAAUCGCGCGGCUCAACCGCGCCCCGCAGUUGAAACUGGCUUGCUAGAGUGGGCGAGAAGUAUGCGGAAUGCGUGGUGUAGCGGUGAAAUGCAUAGAUAUCAGGAGGAACACCGGCGGCGAAGGCGGCCUGCUGGACCGCGACUGACGUUGAGGCUCGAAAGCGUGGGGAGCGAACAGGAUUAGAUACCCCUGUAGUC